This 487-nucleotide ribosomal RNA is filed under the name uncultured bacterium. RNAcentral describes it as "SSU rRNA". It matches the Rfam family "Bacterial small subunit ribosomal RNA", at positions 26 to 524 of the family's 1533-position model. The record is from RNAcentral.
AGGACGAACGCUGGCGGCGUGCCUAACACAUGCAAGUCGAACGAGGUUCAGUCAGUAGCAAUACUGACGAAGACCUAGUGGCGAACGGGUGAGUAGCACGUGAGCAACCUACCCCGAAGACCGGGACAACACCGGGAAACCGGUGCUAAUACCGGAUAUCCCCAUCGAGUCGCAUGGCUUGAUGAGGAAAUGGAUUCCGCUUCGGGAGGGGCUCGCGGCCUAUCAGCUUGUUGGUGAGGUAACGGCUCACCAAGGCUUCGACGGGUAGCUGGUCUGAGAGGACGAUCAGCCACACUGGGACUGAGACACGGCCCAGACUCCUACGGGAGGCAGCAGUGGGGAAUCUUGCACAAUGGGCGAAAGCCUGAUGCAGCAACGCCGCGUGAGGGACGAAGGCUUUCUGAGUUGUAAACCUCUUUCAGCAGGGACGAUUGUGACGGUACCUGCAGAAGAAGCCCGGCAACUACGUGCCAGCAGCCGCGGUAAU